RNAcentral lists this ribosomal RNA (450 nucleotides) under Streptococcus sp. oral taxon 070. RNAcentral's name for it is "bacterial SSU rRNA". It matches the Rfam family "Bacterial small subunit ribosomal RNA", at positions 28 to 465 of the family's 1533-position model. Lineage: Bacteria; Bacillati; Bacillota; Bacilli; Lactobacillales; Streptococcaceae. The record is from RNAcentral.
GACGAACGCGGCGGCGUGCCUAAUACAUGCAAGUAGAACGCUGAAGCUUGGUGCUUGCACCGAGCGGAAGAGUUGCGAACGGGUGAGUAACGCGUAGGUAACCUGCCUGGUAGCGGGGGAUAACUAUUGGAAACGAUAGCUAAUACCGCAUGAUAUUGAUUAUUGCAUGAUAGUCAAUUAAAAGGUGCAAUUGCAUCACUACCAGAUGGACCUGCGUUGUAUUAGCUAGUUGGUGAGGUAACGGCUCACCAAGGCAACGAUACAUAGCCGACCUGAGAGGGUGAUCGGCCACACUGGGACUGAGACACGGCCCAGACUCCUACGGGAGGCAGCAGUAGGGAAUCUUCGGCAAUGGACGGAAGUCUGACCGAGCAACGCCGCGUGAGUGAAGAAGGUUUUCGGAUCGUAAAGCUCUGUUGUAAGAGAAGAACGACGUGUGAUGAGUGGAAA